This 44-nucleotide non-coding RNA is filed under the name Schistosoma mansoni. Lineage: Eukaryota; Metazoa; Platyhelminthes; Trematoda; Strigeidida; Schistosomatidae. The record is from RNAcentral.
ACCGGCUGACGAGUCCCAAAUAGGACGAAACGCGCGUCCUGGAU